Molecule: long non-coding RNA, 925 nt
Filed under: Lathyrus oleraceus (garden pea)
Lineage: Eukaryota; Viridiplantae; Streptophyta; Magnoliopsida; Fabales; Fabaceae
Description: Pisum sativum (pea) long non-coding RNA (PSAT_LNC023760)
Source: RNAcentral
UGGGAACAACGACAUGGAUAUCAGUCUCCUAUAAAGAAAAGUAAACCAUGAAGUUCAUGUAUCCUCAUUAAAAUAAAUAUCAAUAAAAGGAUGUGAAACAUACAAACACAAAAAAAUUCAAACCAUAUCAGAAACAACUAAUAUGAGUAUGGAUAUCAACCAUACAAAUAUUUAUAAAACUGAUAAAUAUGUUAUAUACUACAACCAUUUCAAAAACAUAAUGAAACAUCAUAAAUAUUAUAAACUGGAACCGAAUAAAUAUUGCCAAAUGACUUUAUUCAGCAAAUCAAGGAAUAAGGUUUAAUAAUACAAAACGAAACCAGUUGAGCAGUCAUCAAAAAUGACACAUAACAUACUCCAACUUUGUGGAAAAAACUCGAAGAACAUGAUUUAAUAAUAACUUUCAUGAACUCACAUAUUUGUCAACGACGAUCAUCUCGAAGUGCUCCUUGGUAUUGGAGAUGACAUCCCAUUUAUGGUGAACUUUAACAAUGAUCUUUCAAAGCUCUUUGGUGUGGUUAAUGUCCUUGACGUUCUCAAAUAGUCUUGCCAUAUUAUACAGAAGCAAUAUUUGUUGAAUCAAUGGAACACAGAAAAUGUAUGGAAGACAAAUAUAAUAAGGAACAAAGGAGCACCGGAUUUUGAAAAGAAGAUAAAUUAGUCAAAGAAGUUAAAGCAAAUGGAGAGACUACAUGAGAUUUUUGUAGCACAAUAAAUAUUGUGAGUUGAUGUUUGCUUUAUGAAUGGUUUGAAUUAGUUGAAUUGAUGUGUAUUUAAGUAAGAAAGAAAUUAAGGUCAGGGCAGAAUGGAUGUGUAUUUCAGAAAGAAAGAAAUUGGAAACAAGCAGAAUGGAAGCAUUACGGUGUGUUUAAAAAAAAUAAAGUUUGAUUUUGUUGGAAUUUAAGUAACUUGGUUGCAUUCACCA